GAUCAGCUCGACCACCAGGAACAUCGCCUACACCCUCGCUUGGCCCCUAGUGCCGUCCACCGCCGUCCACGACGACCAAGACCGCCGCCCGACGAGUCCCGCACGGCCACGUCUCUGCCCGAGCCCCUCUCGCUUAAUUGCCAAUGACUCGAGCUCAUCCGCAGCUCACCGGCCACACUAGCGACACACCGGCCUCGCCACCACCCACUCGCUCGCCUUGAAUGGCCGCCGCCGCGGUCAGCUCGGGCACGACACCGCCCAGGCCACCCGAGCCAGCCAGCGCGACCCCGUGGUAAAUACGGACGACCACCGUCCGUACCUAACCGCUCCGGCCACUCCUACCUCGCCACCGCCCGCGCUUUGCCAUCAAUGGCCGCCGCCGACGUGUUCAUCUCUGGAACCCGCGGCACUGCCCUCCCCUCCCUAUAAAAAGCCACCCAAGGCCCUCGAAAAGCACCAUAUCACUCUACCUCUCCCUCACUGACCCACCCGUUGCAGCAACACAACCAGAGGAGGUCGUCUUCUCCGAUUCCGGCAACUACUGCCGCCGCCACUGUUCGGAUGGUUCCGACGCCGUCCGGCCCUUCCUCUCACAAGUUUAUCCACCACUAGCCUCCUUGAGCACCCAUUGAUCCACCCCCACACUCAAUUUUGCCCGGGAGCCACCAUAGGCGAAACACCCAAUUCGUCUCCGCCGGAGCUCCUCGGGUGAGCUCGCCGCCGGCGACUCCCUCCACUCCAGCGACAAAGGAGGGUACCCACAUGUUCGCCUCAACCUCCUGAGCUCGUAGGAGGCCUCGGUUUUCCAAACGGUGCCGCCUUUCGCCGGCGCCGACCGCCGGAGCUCCGCCUCUGUUCGGCCGGAGAAGGAGGCGCGCGCGUGGACUGGUCAAACCUGACCAGUGGGCCGGGCGGGCCCACUGCCAGUGACUCAGCGCGGUGCCAGCUCAUUUUAAGUGGAGACGUUUUCCCCAAAGUACGUCUCCUCCACCGGAAAACGUAUAAUAGUAAAAACGCCUUCGACGUCGCAACCCUCCCACGCAGCCAAACGACUGGGCUCGGCCCAGUAGCGCUAGGCGGCUAUACUGCGCCCAGGGCGCGUUUCUGCUCAGCCCAUCACAAUCAUGAUUCAGAGAGGAGUACUACGAAGCCACCUCGCAACCUAGGAUUCAGAGAUAGCAACCGCGCGAGAUAGGAGUUAUCCAGGUCAGCUGUUCCCGUGGGAAUGGAGUUCCAUCAGCGUUGGAGAUCCACGAGUCGCUUCCAUUAUUUGCCACUCGAAAUCAUUGUUGUACUCAAUGGACCUAUAAGGUCUUGUACUCAAAUCCUUGUAAUUUCUUGGAAUUCUGUAUCAAGGAAAUAUCCACCAGCAACAGUAAUCCUGGGGCUGGUGGUGACAUAAGGGUCGUUUGCUGGGAAUUUAUGUCCCGGAAAUCCGGCCCCGACAACCUUGGUAUCAGAGCUAGGCUGACCACCGGCUAAUCCUAUCUUAGCCUGGUCACUAUCCCUAGGUUUUCACACCGACCAUAUCCUUUUCUAUCCACCGUCAAGCUCAUCCUAACCGAUAGCCUGCAUAGUGGCCACCCGACAGAUUUUUGUUAGUCGGUGCCCAACCUAUUGUCCUAGGCCAUAGGCCGUGCGCCCGUGGCCGACACCUGAGUUGUCCCAUCCGCAAGCGUGCGAUGGAAGACUCCGCUGGCUUAUAAAGGAAGCCUUGCCCUUACUCAGCACAUCAUCGCCUUCACUCGCAGCUUGAUUUCCAAACCACCAAGAUGCAUGGUCCCAUCGUCCGCAACGAGACCACCGCAUCCGAGCUUGGAGAUUUUGUAGCGAUCCUCGCCAAUCUCACUCAUCGUGCUUUUGGCAUAGAUGAACCCCCAGAAUAUGUUGUGUACCAGGAACACACAAGUGAUGCCAUCCAUCACUUCUGGGCCACGGUGCACAUCUACGGGAGGGGCACCACAUCAGAACGCCCCUACCGGUUCACCGGAAGGAUGACCUCCGACGAGCCCCAAGCCAUCCAACUUGCAGCCGAGAGGGUAUAGUUCAUCUUCGGCAUUUGUCGCCGAGGGUUAACACCCGCCCUUUCUUCUACUACCCUAGUCGUGAAGGCUAUGGUAGCCCGACCCAAGUCGCCAACGGUGACCAUGAGUUGGAUCCUGCUCUAGUGCAUCUGGUGCGCUACCUGAGGGCGCAAGAGGCACUAUUCGAUCAGGUCACCAAUGAUCUGAUUGCGACCCGCAGGACGAUUGCACUCCUGACACCGGUAAGGAGUGAAGCUGCAACCAACACCGACACCCCAAUAAUGCUACUUGGGAGGCCAGUUGAACCCCCAAGGUCUGCUCCUAUCAUCAACCCCGACAAUGCCUUUGCCUCCCCAGGAGAACUCCGUCGUCUCUUGGAGACCUACUCCAACGGGAUUGUGACCACGAGACCCCACGAGGGGCAUCAUCGCUAUCCAGCACUAUAGCUCCCCAUCCUACCCCGAACAACUCCGACACUGAAGCUCACGGAGAGGCCUCGACAUCUGCAAGACACGCCCGGCUAGAUGUCAAUGAGGUGGACUGAGUCCACCAGGAGUAUUGUCAAAUCUUAGUAGUCCUGUUGUCUUGUAUUUUCAAGGUACCAAUCGUAUGGCAUAGUGAGCUUGUCAACUACAUGUGUGCCAUUGUUGUAAUGGUACUAUGUGUGAUCUAGCGUAAAUUAUUGGUGUAUGGCGACAGAGUAAAUGCUAGAUGUGACUGCCGACACGCACAGUAAUAUGUCACACUCCUUUUGAGAAGUGGUGUCCGAGAAUUUGACUUGGACAACCCUAUGUCGGAGCCGAUGCACAAGUCGUGCCAGCGCCGCAUCGUGUUUCCUAGCCCAGGCACCUUAUAAGGGGCCAUAUCCAUACACCACACCAGCCACCACCACACUUGAGCACCGCUCUUCUCCAUUCAUCCUUCCAUGUCUCACCCUGGAGUCUACCUACGAACUCCAGAUGCAAGCCCUGGUAGUUUCAUUAAGGUUUUGUGGGAUCUGACCCGCAAUACCCUUGGUUCCAGCAACCCACCCCAGUAUGAGUUGUUCAAAAUGAGGAUCACCCCUAAUUCCUCAAAAUACUGGGCAGUUGUGCACAUCCCACGAGAGGAUUUAAAUCAAGACCCUCCAUAUGUUGUCUUCGUCGGGAGAUCCAUGCCAACCUCAGGCAUGGCUAUUGAGGCUGCUGCUUAUGAAGCAGUUACCCGUGUUCGGUUCACUAUACCCGCUGCCAGUGAAAGGAAAUACUACUAUUUCCCGAGCCGCGCAGCUUUUGGAGCAGAAGCCACGUUCCGUUGUGAACGCAUAGAGAGGGAUCCAACUCUGGCCAAUCUCAUUCAAUAUGUGAUGGCCCAGGAGCAUCUAACCCAGCAACUAAUGGAUUACCUCCAUUAUCUUGCUAUGCUGAAUCCCCAUAUCGCCAUUGGUGGACCACCAUGGCCAACUCCGGAAGGGCGUGUUCUUCGUUUACUUCCUUCACUUCCCCCGGAAGAAGAAGAAUGUGCUCCAGCAUCGGGAACCCUUCCACAAGACCCUGUAGAUCUCACCUUCAGACUGUAGACGGUCAUUGUUGCUGUACCUAGCACUAGUAUACAUGAUGCAACCGCUGUAUUGUAAUUUAGGGCGUAUGUAAGUGCAUUGCCAUGACUGCAUUCUGCAUAUGAUCAUUUGUUGUGAUUUUCAGUUCUUCUGCCCUUAACAAAUCUCGAGGACGAGAUUUUUCUUAAGGGGGGUAGAGUUUGUAACACCCCAAAAUUUUAAUCAAAUUUUAUUAAGUAAAAUUUGGCCAGAAAUAAAAUUUUGAAUUAUACUAGGUCAUUUAUUAAUUUCAAAGCCUUUUCUAUUUCCUGUUUUACAAAAAAUUCUCCCCUCCAUAGAAGAUUAUUUUUGUGAAGUGUUGUGGUAUGUGGUUGUUUUAUAAGCCUUUCCAUUUGUAUCAUAAAUAACAGUGGGAAAUAUUUUCAUAAUAAAAUUUGCCACAAGUAAUACUUUUAAAAGCAUUUUCAAUACUUAAAAUGCUUCUAUUGCACUACAAUUAUUUUAAAUAAUUGUUUUAAAAUCCCACAAAAAUUGUGAGAGGUCGGGUGAUGCCUAUAAAUCACUUUUGAGCAAAAACCUAACUAUGUCUUUUGAAAAUUUUGAGAGAAACAUCCUCUUUUCAAAUUCUGUCCCAUUCUUGAGUUAUAACUGCAACCCUAAUUUUUCUAGCUCCAUUAAUUCUGAAACUUUGCCAUAUUGUAGUCCUUCCAACUAGUACCUUAAGUCCAGAAGGGAAGCUUCAAUUUCAACUUGCAAGUCCACCAAACACUUCUCUGAAGUUUCUGUCCAGAACUGAAUUCUGGUAAAACUUGCACUAGCAAGUUUCUCAUCUUGCCAAACUAACUCCACCAUCAUCUCUAGCACCUAAAGAGAUCCCAAUCUGGCAAGUUUCAAAUCCAUCAAAGUCCUUUAGCUUGCCCCUAGUGUUCUGUCAAACACCUUGUGGGCAUGACAGAAAUGUUGCCACUUUCUAACUUACACUGGACACCUGGUUAUUUGGCCAAACCAGCAUGUCCAUCACUCCUCUCAUACCUAGAAGCACCAUCUUGUUGAUUUUUAGCUCGUGUGUGUCCCUGUAGAUGCCACUGGCAAUCUGACGAACACCUAACGUGCGUGCACCGGGCGCGGCCAGAGCGUGUGUUUUGCACGCGUCGGCACCGAGCCCCUGCCGUGUCUCUGCUGCCUCCCCUUCUCAUCCUGAUCCUCCUCUGGAUCAGCUCGACCACCGGGAACCUCGCCGACACCCUCGCUUGGCCCCUAGCGCCGUCCACCGCCGUCCACGUCUCUGCCCGAGCCCCUCUGGCUUAAUUGCCAACGGCUCGAGCUCAUCCGGAGCUCACCGGCCACACUAGCGACACACCGGCCUCGCCACCACCCACUCGCUCGCCUUGAAUGGCCGCCGCCGCGGUCAGCUCGGGCACGGCACCGCCCAGGCCACCCGAGCCAGCCAGCGCGACCCCGUGGUAAAUACGGACGGCCACCAUCCGUACCUAACCGCGCCGGCCACUCCUACCUCGCCACCGCCCGCGCUUUGCCAUCAAUGGUCGCCGCCGACGUGUUCAUCUCUGGAACCCGCGGCACUGCCCUCCCCUCCCUAUAAAAAGCCACCCAAGGCCCUCGAACAACACCAUCUCACUCUCCCUCUCCCUCACUGACCCACCCGUUGCAGCAACACGACCAGAGGAAGUCGUCUUCUCCGAUUCCGGCAACUACUGCCGCCGCCACUGUUCGGAUGGUUCCGACGCCGUCCGGCCCUCCCUCUCACAAGUUUCUCCACCAAUAGCCUCCUUGAGCACCCAUUGAUCCACCCCCACACUCGAUUUUGCCCGGGAGCCACCAUAGGCGAAACGCCCAAUUCGUCUCCGCCGGAGCUCCUCGGGUGAGCUCGCCGCCGAUGACUCCCUCCACUCCAGUGACCAAGGAGGGUACCCACGUGUUCGCCUCAACCUCCUGAGCUCUUAGGUGGCCUCUGUUUUCCCAACGGAGCCGCCGUUCGCCGGCGCCGACCGCCGGAGCUCCGCCUCUGUUCGGCCGGACAAGGAGGCGCGCGCGUGGACUGGUCAAACCUGACCAGUGGGCCGGGCGGGCCCACUGCCAGUGACUCAGCGCGGUGCCAGCUCAUUUUAAGUAGAGACGUUUUCCCCAAAGUACGUCUCCUCCUCCGGAAAGCGUACUCACGGAGAGACGCCUUCGACGUCGCAACCCUCCCACGCAGCCAAACGACUGGGCUCGGCCCAGUAGCGCUAGGCGGCUAUACUGCGCCCAAGGCGCGUUUCUGCUCAUCCCAUCACAAUCAUGAUUCAGAGAGGAGUACUACGAAGCCACCCCGUAACCUAGGAUUCGGAGAUAGCAACCGCGCGAGAUAGGAGUUAUCCAGGUCAGCUGUUCCCGUGGGAAUGGAGUUCCAUCAGCGUUGGAGAUCCACGAGUCGCUUCCAUUAUUUGCCACUCGAAAUCAUUGUUGUACUCAAUGGACCUAUAAGGUCUUGUACUCAAAUCCUUGUAAUUUCUUGGAAUUCUGUAUCAAGGAAAUAUCCACCAGCAACAGUAAUCCUGGGGCUGGUGGUGACAUAAGGGUCGUUUGCUGGGAAUUUAUGUCCCGGAAAUCCGGCCCCGACAUGAUUGGGGCAUGAAUAUAACAUUGAUUUAAGCCUCCC
Aegilops tauschii subsp. strangulata is the source of this 6217-nucleotide non-coding RNA. The record is from RefSeq and is a predicted model, not a curated record. Lineage: Eukaryota; Viridiplantae; Streptophyta; Magnoliopsida; Poales; Poaceae.